This 640-nucleotide ribosomal RNA is filed under the name Scardovia sp. oral taxon 195. RNAcentral's name for it is "bacterial SSU rRNA". It matches the Rfam family "Bacterial small subunit ribosomal RNA", at positions 380 to 1016 of the family's 1533-position model. The record is from RNAcentral. Lineage: Bacteria; Bacillati; Actinomycetota; Actinomycetes; Bifidobacteriales; Bifidobacteriaceae.
AGCCUGAUGCAGCGACGCCGCGUGCGGGAUGGAGGCCUUCGAGUUGUAAACCGCUUUUAUAGGGGGGCAAGCUAUGCCUGUGUGGUGUGGUGAGUGGACUUUAUGAAUAAGCACCGGCUAACUACGUGCCAGCAGCCGCGGUAAUACGUAGGGUGCAAGCGUUGUCCGGAUUUAUUGGGCGUAAAGGGCUCGUAGGCGGUUUGUUGCGUCUGGUGUGAAAGCUUACUGCUUAACGGUAGGUUGCGCUGGAUACGGGCAGGCUUGAGUGCAGUAGGGGAGACUGGAAUUCUCGGUGUAACGGUGGAAUGUGUAGAUAUCGGGAAGAACACCUAUGGCGAAGGCAGGUCUCUGGGCUGUUACUGACGCUGAGGAGCGAAAGCGUGGGGAGCGAACAGGAUUAGAUACCCUGGUAGUCCAUGCUGUAAACGGUGGACGCUGGAUGUGGGGCCCAUUUCCACGGGUUUUGUGUCGGAGCUAACGCGUUAAGCGUCCCGCCUGGGGAGUACGGCCGCAAGGUUAAAACUCAAAGAAAUUGACGGGGGCCCGCACAAGCGGCGGAGCAUGCGGAUUAAUUCGAUGCAACGCGAAGAACCUUACCAGGGCUUGACAUAACCUGGAUGAUGCCAGAGAUGGUGUGUCC